UAUAUAUAUGUUCCAAGAAAAGAAAAGAAACAAAGAAAAGGGAAUGCAGUUGUGCCACAGAGCUGGCUGCAGAUGCCUUCCAGGCUGUUGGGAAAGAAUCGUCUUCACCUGCCCUUUCUACCAGGGGAGUAGACACUCCCCAAACUCACAGAUGGGUUUGUGGCUCAUCAGUUAACUGCAACCUGGUCCGGCCCAUGUGCUGAGAUGGUGUACUGCGGUGUAACUGCUAUGAACAUUAUGCAACAGGUGAGAGUUGAGUGGCAGGGGGACGAGGGGCCCUGAAAAAGGCUUGCUCAGCAAUCCCACCACAGGUACUAGUCCUCCUUGUCUACCCAUACACUUCUGUAGCAAUUAGCUACUGUCCGAUGUGGAGUCAGGAAGGCAAAUGUGACCUGAAACACUUACUAUCUGUAUGACCGUAGGCAAGUCACUUAACUCAAUAGAGUUACUGUGUGUAGCGGUGACUCAUUUGCUCAAGCUUGUCCUCUCAAAAGUAGCCACCAUAACUGAUGCCCAUUUAGGAUCCCUCUGCUAACAAGCUGGUUCCAGCCAGUGCUAUUAGGUAAGCUACAACUUAGAGAAAACCUAAAUAAUUUCUGAAGCAGACAAAAUAAUGAAAAGACGCAGAUCAAGGUGAAAGGGGUUACUUUUUAGAAGAAUUUGCUAGAAUGCCAAGCUAAUCGCAUUUCAUUUUUUGACAGGAUAACUAGAUUAGUGGAUCAGGGUGAUACCUGAGUCAGAGCAAGGCAUUUGACAAGCAUAAUGUCCUGGUGGACAAGCUAGAGAGAUGAAGGAGGGAUAUGUGUCAGUGAAUUCUGAACACACUGAAAGCAGGUCACCAAAGAGUGUUGAUAUAUGGAACAUCUAUUGGACACGAUCUCUACUCAUCAGAAGCUUACAUGCGGAAUGAAAUGGAAUUAAGAGAAGCUCCCAAAUGUAAAUUAACGGAAUAUUCAGAGGGAACUGAUCUCUGAAUAAUCCUAACAAUGAAUCUUACUCUCAGAGAAUAGAUACUGAACUAUCCUUUCAGAGGACCACAGCUGAGA
This 1046-nucleotide long non-coding RNA is filed under the name Monodelphis domestica (gray short-tailed opossum). Its description in RNAcentral is "lncRNA (ENSMODG00000046828.1)". The record is from RNAcentral. Lineage: Eukaryota; Metazoa; Chordata; Mammalia; Didelphimorphia; Didelphidae.